RNAcentral lists this ribosomal RNA (497 nucleotides) under uncultured bacterium. RNAcentral's name for it is "partial 16S ribosomal RNA". It matches the Rfam family "Bacterial small subunit ribosomal RNA", at positions 28 to 507 of the family's 1533-position model. The record is from RNAcentral.
GACGAACGCUGGCGGCGUGCCUAAUACAUGCAAGUUGAGCGCUGAAGGUUGGUACUUGUCCCAACUGGAUGAGCAGCGAACGGGUGAGUAACGCGUGGGGAAUCUGCCUUUGAGCGGGGGACAACAUUUGGAAACGAAUGCUAAUACCGCAUAAAAACUUUAAACACAAGUUUUAAGUUUGAAAGAUGCAAUUGCAUCACUCAAAGAUGAUCCCGCGUUGUAUUAGCUAGUUGGUGAGGUAAAGGCUCACCAAGGCGAUGAUACAUAGCCGACCUGAGAGGGUGAUCGGCCACAUUGGGACUGAGACACGGCCCAAACUCCUUCGGGAGGCAGCAGUAGGGAAGCUUCGGCAAUGGACGAAAGUCUGACCGAGCAACGCCGCGUGAGUGAAGAAGGGUUUCGGAUCGUAAAACUCUGUUGGUAGAGAAGAACGUUGGUGAGAGUGGAAAGCUCAUCAAGUGACGGUAACUACCCAGAAAGGGACGGCUAACUACGUG